AAGCAAUGUAACAUUUAUCUUUCAAUAAAAUUUUAAAACAAAAACUUAUAAUAAAGCAUCUUAUAAUAAAAAAAUAUCAGUUCCCAACAUAUCAGUGCUACAUGUUAUGAACUUUUUAUUAUAUUUUGAAGUGAUAGAAAAGUUGGCUCAUCGUGUGUUACAAACAAUGCUAAAUGUAAUGUUAUAAAUAAAAAUAAAUGUUAAAUAUACACACACAUAUAUAUAUAUAUAUAUAUAUUGUAUGUGUAGGACGUAAAUGGAAUAAGAAUUUUGUUUCAUUGGAAGAAUUAUUUUCUUAAAUAAAAAAACUUUUUGUUUUCGUUCUUUCUGUUUGAUAGAACUUUUUAUUAAUAACCAAAAUAAAAUUAUACACUUUAUACAUUAAAAAUAUGUGUUAAAAAAAAAAAAGAAUUUCCCUCUUCCAUUGUUUAAAUUAUUUAGUACGUUAAUAGUUAAUUUUUUGUUUUUUUCCGAAAUUCGUUCAUAUAUCUACAUAAUACAUAUACGUAUUUGAAACAUAAAAAUAGCUUAUAUACAUUUAUGUGUUGUUAAUAAAAGAGCAAUGAAAAAAGCACUAUGUUUAUGCGGAAAUAUAUCAUCCUCACUUAAUGGAAACGUUGUAGAACCAGUGACUACAACAGUUAAUGCACCUAACGGACCAAUACAUUUACCUGCUGACACGAAGUUAAAAUUGGGGUUGAGGAAAUAUAAAUACAACAUUCCCGAUGAUAAUAAGGAUAAUGAUCUAAAAAGAGAAAUAAACAAAGACGCAGAGGAAUUAGAAAAUACGAUGGUAUAUAAUUAAUAUUUUGAAAAAUUAUAUAUACAUGUAUACAUAGAAAUAUAUAUAUGUAUAUAAAUAUGUGUAUAUAUAAAUAUGUGUNNNNNNNNNNAAAAACACAAAAACUAAUGUUAAACAAAAUAUAUUAAUUUUGUCUUUUUUCAUAUAAUUUAAUAUUUCACUUUUUUUUUUCCUCCUCAAAUGUUCUUAUUAUAUCGACAUAUAUGUAUAUAUGUAUAUAUUUAUUGGA
Molecule: long non-coding RNA, 1031 nt
Filed under: Piliocolobus tephrosceles (Ugandan red Colobus)
Lineage: Eukaryota; Metazoa; Chordata; Mammalia; Primates; Cercopithecidae
Description: lncRNA (ENSPTEG00000002918.1)
Source: RNAcentral